AGAGCGAACGCUGGCGGCAGGCCUAACACAUGCAAGUCGAGCGGGCGUAGCAAUACGUCAGCGGCAGACGGGUGAGUAACGCGUGGGAACGUACCUUUUGGUUCGGAACAACACAGGGAAACUUGUGCUAAUACCGGAUAAGCCCUUACGGGGAAAGAUUUAUCGCCGAAAGAUCGGCCCGCGUCUGAUUAGCUAGUUGGUGAGGUAAUGGCUCACCAAGGCGACGAUCAGUAGCUGGUCUGAGAGGAUGAUCAGCCACAUUGGGACUGAGACACGGCCCAAACUCCUACGGGAGGCAGCAGUGGGGAAUAUUGGACAAUGGGCGCAAGCCUGAUCCAGCCAUGCCGCGUGAGUGAUGAAGGCCCUAGGGUUGUAAAGCUUCUUUUGUGCGGGAAGAUAAUGGACGGUACCGCAAGAAUAAGCCCCGGCUAACUUCGCGCCAGCAGCCGC
This 450-nucleotide ribosomal RNA is filed under the name uncultured bacterium. Its description in RNAcentral is "SSU rRNA". It matches the Rfam family "Bacterial small subunit ribosomal RNA", at positions 26 to 518 of the family's 1533-position model. The record is from RNAcentral.